UGUCUGUUAGUAUACGUUUCAGUUCAUGAUCUUGCUUUAGUUUUAAAUUCUUUUAAAGAAUAUAAACAAUAAUUAGGCGUUCCCAAUUGUGUUAACCGCUUGAGAUAACUUCUAUGUUUCAGUUGAUUUGCUAAAAUUUUACUAAUGCUUAAUUUUGUCUUUUAGGACGUCUGAUUUGUUUUCUGAAGUUCUCAAGAUUCUAAACUAGUUUAGGUUUUUUUACCUUGUCAAAAAAUCUUGAGCUAUAUAGUACUAAUAUAUCUUCUUUCACUUUUCAUAAAUUUUUGGAUUGUUAAGACCCGUUAGAAGAAAAAACUUUAACUUGCUCUUUGUGUAGGUUGUUAUCAAGUAGUCUAACGUGUUAUCAAAUUUCAGUACUAUUUCAGUACUGGAUAGUGGUUUACCAUUUGCCGUAAAGGCUCUAAUAAACACCAUGGGCGUGUGUUUUCUUUUUUAGGUUUUUACGGGCGUUUAUUAGGCGUUUAUUUUGUAGCUUUAUUUAAAGUUCUCUCUCUCUGCAUCUUAAUGACACUUGCAUUUUCGAUAAAUCGUGUCCGAAAACAGUCUUUUUUAUUUUUUGUUUGUUCAAAUUUUGGUCUGAAAAAUAGACGCCUACAAGAAUUUUUUACAAGUAUUUUUUGGAACUUUAAGUGUCCCAAAACAUGCUCCGUCUGCCAGACUAUUACAGCCGCAUUCACAUGUUGUGGUGUAAUUUAUAUGUAAAUUUUUACCAUUCAUGAGAGAAUGAACAUUUGGUAAAAGCAUAUAGUUCAGUCGUUAAGUGUUUUGACCUGGAAAAAUAUGAUAUAGAGCUGAAACUUGGCACACUUACUCCAUUUUAUAUGUAGAUAACCAGAAAAAAAGCCCCAUUGAUAGCAUUUGUAGAAAAUGAGAUAUGCGCCAUUUCAAAAAAGGCGAACUUCCUAAUUUUUCAGAAAACGAAAGCUGGUAAAUUCGAAAACUAAUUAAACUAUUGAAAAGAACUUUCGAUUUGGAACAAAAAAUAUUAUUACACCGACUUACAAAAAUCAUUAAUUGUGGGGGGGAGGGACAAUGCAUACAGUUAUUUUCUAAUUUAUCAAUGCUAGAUAUUUAGAUUUAUUUUACUUAUAAAAGGUCAGAAAAGAAGUUUGCUUUAUUUAUAUCCCAGACCAUUCGAAUCACAAGUUUAGAAUUUUUGGCAUAGAGUCCGAUCAAAAAUUCUACUUUUGAUGAACUAUCACAAGUUUACGUUAAGUACGUUCGACGGCACUAUAAAUCUUGCACCAUUGUCUUUGAUGGAUAUGAUGGUCCUAGCACGAAAUCAAAUGAGCACAUGCGACGAACAGGUAGUGGAAAACGAUGCCCCAAUAUUGAUGUUGUUGGUUUUAACUAAGUAUCUUUUACCCAAGAAAGUUUUCUGAAUAACGAAGAUAACAAAACACGUUUCAUCAGGCAUAUCAGCAUAAAACAGUGAAGAUUUGUGAAGGUGAUGCUGAUACAACAAUCGUCGCAACAGCGCUAAAAGAAGCCGAAACAAACAAUCAAAAAGUCGUUGUAACAGUUGCCGAUGAUACCGAUGUCGCAAUGACGAUUCUAUACCGUUGGUAAGAACAUCAUGGAGAUGUUUACUUUUUUCAAGAGAGGUUGGAUAAAGCCCGGAACAUGAAAGUUUUCUGUCAGAAAUGAAACCCUAUCCGACAGCAUAUUCUUUUUGUACAUUCGUUUUCCGGCUGUGAUACAACAUCUGCACCUUUCGCGAAGGGAAAAAAUAACUUGCUGUCAUUGGUCACAAAGAACAAAACAUUGCAGAUUGUCUCAGACACAAUGAAUGAUGUUUGGGCAGACAACGGAGAUGUCAAAGAAGCUGCCAUCAAAGCGUUUCAAAUCAUUUAUGGUGGUAACGACUUGACUGAUUUAUGCAAACUUAGGUGAGUUUCUUAUAUAAUAUAACAUUUAUUCACAAUACAAAAGGUUCUCUUCAUUUAGUAUAAUCUCAAGGUGCAUUAUUGCAGAUACCGGAAAUAUCUCGAUAUAUGUUGGAAAGGAAAAAUUGAUCCUGAAAAGAUGCCACCUACGGAAAGUCCUGCUAUUCUACACGGUUUUCGAGUUCAUCUACAGAUAAUGAAUUAGAAGAUAUUAGAGGAAGAAGAGCUUAAGCAAAUUGAUCCAAGCAAAUGGGGCUGGAAAAUUGAAAAUAAACAAGUCGCUCCUGAUAGCCUCCUAAAAAUCAUUCAAUGCAACUGCAAGGCUACGUCGAAGUCACCCUGUUUAACAAAUUUGUGUUCGUGCAGAAAACAUGGUCUGAGCUGUAUGCAGUCUUGUGGAGAAUGUCGCGGUGAAACAUGUGAAAAUAAAGAUGUCCGCUCUCUAUAAUUCUUCAUUUUUAAAGGCAAAUCUCUUAUAAGGAGUCAGUUCAGCAAAAAAAACAGCCUUUAUCUUAUUUUUUCUUUUUUUAGGUAUUCGAUAUUGAUAGUAACGUCGAAGAUGAUUUGGAAGAUGAAGAAGAGAAUAGAAACAUUCUUGAUAUAUUUGAUGCAAUUUGAUUUCACAAAUUUGUAUACAAAUAUUUACUUUUUUAAGAUGAAAACUAUUAAAGAAAGUCCA
Molecule: long non-coding RNA, 2586 nt
Organism: Hydractinia symbiolongicarpus
Lineage: Eukaryota; Metazoa; Cnidaria; Hydrozoa; Anthoathecata; Hydractiniidae
Exons: 2
Source: RefSeq, a predicted model, not a curated record